UACGUAGGGCGCAAGCGUUGUCCGGAAUUAUUGGGCGUAAAGAGCUCGUAGGCGGCCUGUUGCGUCCGCUGUGAAAUCCCGGGGCUCAACCCCGGGCGUGCAGUGGAUACGGGCUGGCUGGAGGCAGGCAGGGGAGAACGGAAUUCCUGGUGUAGCGGUGAAAUGCGCAGGAUAUCAGGAGGAACACCGGUGGCGAAGGCGGUUCUCUGGGCCUG
This 215-nucleotide ribosomal RNA is filed under the name uncultured bacterium. RNAcentral's name for it is "partial 16S ribosomal RNA". It matches the Rfam family "Bacterial small subunit ribosomal RNA", at positions 524 to 737 of the family's 1533-position model. The record is from RNAcentral.